GGCUUAUAAGGCGUCGGGGUAACGCUGACUCGAGUUUCCAGUGGAAUACGGGAUGCCGCGGUAAGGUUCUGCUUUGUCCAAGCUCUUUUUCUGGACGGUUGAAGGGAUUCAGCAGAGUAGCUGAGACAGUUUGGGAGAAUGCACCACGCUUGGCUUCGCUCAUCGCCUCUACACUUAAGUGUGUGUGAGUGAGUGAGAGAGAUCCCCUAUCCCUUCCUUCUCUGCAGGAAGGAUGAGCUGCUCCAGAGCAUCAUCAGAGAGUAAGAGAAAGCGCAUAAGCACAGGAUGGAGGAGCUGCUGAUCCAGAGAACCGUGAGGAUGCAUGUUGGCCAAUACUG
Long non-coding RNA from Toxotes jaculatrix (banded archerfish), 338 nucleotides. RefSeq lists it as uncharacterized. The record is from RefSeq and is a predicted model, not a curated record. The transcript is spliced from 3 exons. NCBI's taxonomy places the organism in Eukaryota, Metazoa, Chordata, Actinopteri, Toxotidae.